This 253-nucleotide ribosomal RNA is filed under the name uncultured bacterium. RNAcentral describes it as "partial 16S ribosomal RNA". It matches the Rfam family "Bacterial small subunit ribosomal RNA", at positions 524 to 776 of the family's 1533-position model. The record is from RNAcentral.
UACGUAGGGUGCGAGCGUUGUCCGGAUUUAUUGGGCGUAAAGAGCUCGUAGGCGGCCUGUCGCGUCGACCGUGAAAACCCGCAGCUCAACUGCGGGCUUGCGGUCGAUACGGGCAGGCUGGAGUUCGGUAGGGGAGACUGGAAUUCCUGGUGUAGCGGUGAAAUGCGCAGAUAUCAGGAGGAACACCGGUGGCGAAGGCGGGACUCUGGGCCGAUACUGACGCUGAGGAGCGAAAGCGUGGGGAGCAAACAGG